GAUGAACGCUGGCGGUAUGCUUAACACAUGCAAGUCGAACGGUCUCUUCGGAGAUAGUGGCGGACGGGUGAGUAACGCGUGAGAAUCUGGCUCUAGGUCUGGGACAACAGUUGGAAACGGCUGCUAAUACCGGAUGUGCCUAAGGGUGAAAGUUUUAAUGCCUAGCGAUGAGCUCGCGUCUGAUUAGCUAGUUGGUGGGGUAAAGGCCUACCAAGGCGACGAUCAGUAACUGGUCUGAGAGGACGAUCAGUCACACUGGAACGGAGACACGGUCCAGACUCCUACGGGAGGCAGCAGUGGGGAAUUUUCCGCAAUGGGCGAAAGCCUGACGGAGCAAUACCGCGUGGGGGAAGAAGGCUCUUGGGUUGUAAACCUCUUUUCUCUAGGAAGAUAAUGACGGUACUAGAGGAAUAAGCAUCGGCUAACUCCGUGCCAGCCGCCGCGGUAAGAC
RNAcentral lists this ribosomal RNA (451 nucleotides) under uncultured bacterium. RNAcentral's name for it is "bacterial SSU rRNA". It matches the Rfam family "Bacterial small subunit ribosomal RNA", at positions 28 to 526 of the family's 1533-position model. The record is from RNAcentral.